Molecule: long non-coding RNA, 549 nt
Organism: Hyaena hyaena (striped hyena)
Lineage: Eukaryota; Metazoa; Chordata; Mammalia; Carnivora; Hyaenidae
Exons: 3
Source: RefSeq, a predicted model, not a curated record
GAGUCUCUGAGCCGUUUCCCCGGCGUCAGAUGGGGUUAGUGAUCCCUCAGAGGUGAGGGUGAAACCGGGUUCAACACUUGCUCGGCACGGCCGGCAGGGAAAGCAACCACCCUAAUUAUCUCAGAGGAAGUUGUUGUAAAUCUUCACAUUUCAACAGAACGUAAACUUAUCUAACUACACUACGCAAGACAUCGUGUUGUAUGUUCUAGAGGACAUGCAAUUCUAGGUGCCACUCAACCAACACGACACCCAGAGGAAGAAGGGGCAUGCCAGCUUGUGUGUUUCUUUUUCAGAGAGAGGAGAACGUUCCCAGAAGCCUCCCGGGCUCUCUCUUAUCUCUGGUCGGAAUUAUGGCAAGUGCCCACCUGUCCCUCAGCCAGUCACUAGGAAAGGGGAGAGAAUUACACGAGUGGUUUAAACUAAUCAGGAUUUUCUCUGCUGAGUUCCUGGAUGCAAGAGAGCUACUACCGCGUCUCCAUGUGACCCUGGGUGUUCCGGGUGGAGGCCAGCGCUGGCCCAUCCCGUCUGCCUCUCACGGGGCGGGCGUUC